UCGCUCCUACCGAUUGAGUGUUUCGGUGAAUAAUUCGGACUGCAGCAGUGUCCAGAUCCUGGUCGUUGCAGCGGGAAGUCUAGUAAACCUCAACACUUAGAGGAAGGAG
Molecule: ribosomal RNA, 109 nt
Filed under: uncultured eukaryote
Lineage: Eukaryota
Description: partial small subunit ribosomal RNA
Rfam family: Eukaryotic small subunit ribosomal RNA
Source: RNAcentral